CAAAAUGUCAUUAUUUCCUUCUUUGUUGCUUCGCUCAAAACCAGAAAUCGACUGGAAUCCUCAUGAAGAAGAUUGAUUCAUGGUCACUAGUGGAGUGAGAUUAUUGGUUCGUCAUGGUGGUUAUUUUGAGAGUAACCAGGAUGAUAGACGGGCAUAUUACAAAGAGGGCAACUUAAAAGCCACGCUAUAUAAUGGGGACAACUCACUACAACAACUAAAGGCUCAUAUGGGGUCUAUAUUGAGCUUUGACCCAAGCUGUUUGAAAUUUAUGUAUCAAGAAGAGGACAAGCCAAUGGAUUUAGUUGAUUUAAUAGAUGAUGGAGAUGUAAUGUGUAUGUUGAUGGUGGCCUCCAAUGUAUAUAUAUGUGUCGCAAACCAGACAUCACAACCAAAUCUAGUGGAGCAUCAACCUUUCAAUCAUACAUCUGCUCCAUCAACAAGAGAUAGCUGCCCUUCUGUACAAGUGAAUGUCCCUACAACGAGUAACAUAGCUGCAGAGCAUGAGUCUGAAUCCGAGGGUGAACCUGUGGCGGAACGUGAUGUAGAUGACACGACGCCCUUAGAGACCCAUUCAUAUCAACACGUCCACGGGUGGACCUAGUUGUGGGACAGGAUUUUGAGACUGUUGUGGAGUUACGUAAUCACUUAGUUGAUUAUGCAAUAUGUCAUAAUUUUGUGAUGAAGUACCGUAGAAAUGAUCAAGAAAAAGUGAGUGCAUACUGUAAAGGAGCACUGGAUUGCACUUGGAGCGUGCGUUGCUCUAGAGUCGGACAGUCAAAAUACUUUAGGGUGGGAGAAUUUAUGAAUGAGCACACUUGUAUAGGACCAAUGGGCAGGGCGCAUCAACCAUUGGCAAGAAGCCAAUGGGUUGCAAAAAGGAUUAAACCUCGACUAAAAGACCAGAUGACACUCACAACUAAAGAUAUUGCAAAUGGCGUUCAACAAGAUCAUGGGAUCCAAUUAUCAUACAUGCAAGCUUGGCGUGGCAAAGAAGUUGCAAGGGCAAUGAUCCUAGGCUCAGAAGCGCAAUCAUUCACUGAACUACCUCUGUAUCUUGAGAAAUUGAAUAUCACUAACCCUGGAACUAUAUCAGUCAUACAAACCGAUGAGCAGAAGAGAUUCAAGCAUCUCUUUCUUAGCUUUCGUCCAUGCCUCAAUGGAUUUCUACAUGGUUGUAGGCCACUGUUAGGGUUAGAUGGGACGUUCUUGAAGGGAACAUAUAUGGGGAUCUUAUUGGCCACAAUAGCUGUAGAUGCUAAUCAUGACACGUUUCUUGUUUCGAUUGCAGUGGUAGAGAAUGAGCACACUGAAAGUUGGACAUGGUUCUUAGAGAAUUUAAAUGGAGCAUUUCAUUAGCAGGUUGAUAUGGUUCCUCGUUUGACAAUUGUAUCGGACUGUCAGAAGGGUUUGCAAACUGCAAUUCAGCGUGUAUUCCCGGGAUCAUAUCCAGCGCAUUGCAUGCACCAUCUUGUAGAUAAUUUCAGGAGAAAAUGGAAGAACACAGUAUUCGUAAAGAAGUUUUGGAAUGCGGCGGGCGCAUUAUCUACUAAGGGGUUCGAGGAAGAGAUGUUGAAAAUUAAAGAGAUAGAUGAAGGGGCUUACCAAUGGAUAAUGGAAUAGGGAAAAGAAUACUGGACGAAUGCUUAUUUCAAGGGCAAGAGAUAUGAUCAUCUUGCAUCUAAUAUAUCUGAGCAGUUUAACAAUUGGAUUUUAGAGGAACAUGACAAGCCUCUCAUUGCACUGUGCGAAGGCAUCAGAAUAAUGUUAGUGCAUAAAUUUGCUACACAUCAACAGGAAGUUGAAAUGUGGACUGGUGUGCUAGUGCCUAAAGCACAAGAAGUCAUAGCCGAACAGAUUGAGAAGUCAAGUUUUCUGCAUACUGUUGUAUGGGUCGCAGGCAAAAAAUAUGAGAUCCAUGAGGAGAUGACGCACAUUGUAGAUCUAGAUGCCCGUAGCUGCACUUGUAGAGUGUGGUGGAAUAGCGGGUUGCCAUGUACCCAUGCAAGUGCAGCUAUAGAUCACUGUCACCUCCAAAUAACAGACUUUUGCGAGCCAUAUUUCACUGUUCAAGCUUAUAGGACUACCUAUGCAACUGAAUUCUGUCCUGUACCAGACUCAAUGCCUCUAACUGGAGAAUUGAAUAGAACUGUAUAUCCCCCAAAUACCAAGCGACCCAGGCAGGCCGAUUAAGAAGUGUAGGCGGAUAGAAGCCACAAACACCAAGGGUUAUGCUUGUACACGUUGUAGUGACGUAGGCCACAACAGGAGGAGUUGUAGAGAACCAAUCAAUGGUCCACUUCCUCUGACAUCUGACGGGGCAAGUGCUUAUGGAUCAUACGUCCGGCCUUCACUGUCCUAGUGGGCUUGGUUCACUAGGUGACUAAGGAAACGGCAGAAUGUGCAAGAGUUGCCAAAUAAAAAAGAGAAAAGACCGAGGAAGAGGUGGACGUUAUCUUUAGGAAAAGGGUGCUACAAUCAUUUCAUAUUUCCUCUUCAUACUUCAUUGAAAGUAGCGCACCAAAAUCAUAUGACACAAGCAAAGAGAUAGAGCGAUAUGCUGAUAAGUUGAAGCCUAAGACCAAGGCAUCAUGCGGCUGGCUUAAAACAUGAAAAACUGUACAAGGAGAUUUCAGAAUCUACAUUGCAGCCAGACUCAGCUAAAAAUGGUGAAAGAAGGGAAGUCUGAAAAGGAAAAGAAAGAAGAUGAGGA
Molecule: RNA transcript, 2710 nt
Organism: Amborella trichopoda
Lineage: Eukaryota; Viridiplantae; Streptophyta; Magnoliopsida; Amborellales; Amborellaceae
Source: RefSeq, a predicted model, not a curated record